GAUGAAGAACGUAGCGAAAUGCGAUAAGUAAUGUGAAUUGCAGAAUUUAGUGAAUCAUCGAAUCUUUGAACGCACAUUGCGCCCCCUGGCAUUCCGGGGGGCAUGCCUGUCCGAGCGUCAUUUCUGCCCUCCAGCCCGGCUGGGUGUUGGGCGCUGUCCCCCCGGGGACACGCCCCAAAGGCAGUGGCGGCGCCGCGUCGGGUCCUCGAGCGUAUGGGGCUUUGUCACCCGCUCGGGACGGACUCGUCGGCGCUGGUCUUCCUCCAGGCGACCCUUCGGGGCUCGUCUUCCUUCGGUUGACCUCGGAUCAGGUAGGGUUACCCGCUGAACUUAAGCAUAUCAAUAAGCGGAGGA
RNAcentral lists this unclassified non-coding RNA (354 nucleotides) under soil metagenome. RNAcentral's name for it is "partial contains 5.8S ribosomal RNA, internal transcribed spacer 2, and large subunit ribosomal RNA". The stretch from base 1 to 120 matches the Rfam family "5.8S ribosomal RNA", at positions 35 to 154 of the family's 154-position model. The record is from RNAcentral.